CGGCGGCGUUCCCUCGCUCCGCCCGCGGCUCGGGGGGGCCGGCAGGUCCCGGCAGCUGGAGCGAGACAGAAACGAAGGGGAGAACGCAUGAGUGAGGGGAGGAGGAACGGGACGAAGCGCGACCUCAGCAGGGCAGCCGCCGGCGGAAGUAACUUUCAUGAACUGAUCGGAUGUUUGCAACCAGCAUAAAACAAAGCAUCACUGAGAACACUGAGAUUUUCGUCCAAGCGCUUGGAACUUUGUCCAUGUCAGCCUGGGGCCGAAUCAAGCCUCUGAAAUUCAGAAAUACUGACAUAACCUCGAUUUGGAGUGCUGAGUUUAGGAGUGACGUGGCAAAGAACAAAACCUCUAAAUGCUCUGUAAGCUGAAGUCUAAAUGCUUUGUACUGAAAUGAAUAAAUUGCUUCUUGAAAGCAAUGUGUUACUCACUGAGAAAGAUAUACCUACUGAAUGAAACAGCACCAGUGCAGCUGAGCAGGUGAAAUAUCAUCAGCCUCUGUGAUACAUUGCUUUCUCAACUCUAUUUAUCUUCUGUUUGCUCUCCUGUAUUAUUUCUUGGAUGGGAUUCAUCACCCGCUGAAAUACGUGUAUUAAAUAAGCCAUGCUUCUGCAUAAAACUGAAGAUCCUACUGACUAAAU
RNAcentral lists this long non-coding RNA (638 nucleotides) under Gallus gallus (chicken). Its description in RNAcentral is "long non-coding RNA NONGGAT007230". Lineage: Eukaryota; Metazoa; Chordata; Aves; Galliformes; Phasianidae. The record is from RNAcentral.